RNAcentral lists this ribosomal RNA (389 nucleotides) under Hepatozoon silvestris. Its description in RNAcentral is "partial small subunit ribosomal RNA". It matches the Rfam family "Eukaryotic small subunit ribosomal RNA", at positions 576 to 952 of the family's 1831-position model. Lineage: Eukaryota; Apicomplexa; Hepatozoidae. The record is from RNAcentral.
GCGGUAAUUCCAGCUCCAAUAGCGUAUAUUAAAAUUGUUGCAGUUAAAAAGCUCGUAGUUGAAUUUUUGUUAAAAAUAACCGGUCUGCUUUUAUUAUUAGUAAAAGUGGUAUCUUGGUGUGUUUUUAGCAAUAAUGUCCUUUUGAGAUGUUUUUUACUUACUUUAUUGUAAUAAAUAAUGUUGAGGAUUUUUACUUUGAGAAAAUUAGAGUGUUUCUAGCAGGCUAACGCUUUGAAUACUGCAGCAUGGAAUAAUAAGAUAGGAUUUUGGUUCUACAUUAUUGGUUUUAAGAACUAAAUUAAUGAUUGAUAGGGACAGUUGGGGGCAUUUGUAUUUAACUGUCAGAGGUGAAAUUCUUAGAUUUGUUAAAGACAAACUACUGCGAAAGA